GAUGAACGCUGGCGGCGUGCCUAAUACAUGCAAGUCGAGCGAACAGAUAAGGAGCUUGCUCCUUUGACGUUAGCGGCGGACGGGUGAGUAACACGUGGGUAACCUACCUAUAAGACUGGAAUAACUCCGGGAAACCGGGGCUAAUACCGGAUAACAUUUAGAACCGCAUGGUUCUAAAGUGAAAGAUGGUUUUGCUAUCACUUAUAGAUGGACCCGCGCCGUAUUAGCUAGUUGGUAAGGUAACGGCUUACCAAGGCAACGAUACGUAGCCGACCUGAGAGGGUGAUCGGCCACACUGGAACUGAGACACGGUCCAGACUCCUACGGGAGGCAGCAGUAGGGAAUCUUCCGCAAUGGGCGAAAGCCUGACGGAGCAACGCCGCGUGAGUGAUGAAGGUCUUCGGAUCGUAAAACUCUGUUAUUAGGCAAGAACAAAUGUGUAAGUAACUGUGUACGUCUUGACGGUACCUAAUCAGAAAGCCACGGCUAACUACGUG
This 497-nucleotide ribosomal RNA is filed under the name uncultured bacterium. Its description in RNAcentral is "partial 16S ribosomal RNA". It matches the Rfam family "Bacterial small subunit ribosomal RNA", at positions 28 to 507 of the family's 1533-position model. The record is from RNAcentral.